RNAcentral lists this transfer RNA (87 nucleotides) under Deltaproteobacteria bacterium. Its description in RNAcentral is "tRNA-Leu". It matches the Rfam family "tRNA". Rfam says of the family: Transfer RNA (tRNA) molecules are approximately 80 nucleotides in length. Their secondary structure includes four short double-helical elements and three loops (D, anti-codon, and T loops). The record is from RNAcentral. Lineage: Bacteria; Pseudomonadati; Myxococcota; Myxococcia.
GCCGAAGUGGUGGAACUGGUAGACGCACCGGACUCAAAAUCCGGCGAGGGCAACCUCAUGGGGGUUCGAUUCCCCCCUUCGGCACCA